AUUGAACGCUGGCGGCAUGCCUUACACAUGCAAGUCGAACGGUAACGGGCCUUCGGGUGCCGACGAGUGGCGAACGGGUGCGUAAUACAUCGGAACGUGCCCGAUCGUGGGGUAUAACGAGGCGAAAGCUUUGCUAAUACCGCAUACGAUCUACGGAUGAAAGCAGGGGACCGCAAGGCCUUGCGCGGACGGAGCGGCCGAUGGCAGAUUAGGUAGUUGGUGGGAUAAAAGCUUACCAAGCCGACGAUCUGUAGCUGGUCUGAGAGGAUGAUCAGCCACACUGGGACUGAGACACGGCCCAGACUCCUACGGGAGGCAGCAGUGGGGAAUUUUGGACAAUGGGCGCAAGCCUGAUCCAGCCAUGCCGCGUGCAGGAUGAAGGCCUUCGGGUUGUAAACUGCUUUUGUACGGAACGAAAAGCCUUCUUUUAAUACAGGAGGGUCAUGACGGUACCGUAAGAAUAAGCACCGGCUAACUACGUG
RNAcentral lists this ribosomal RNA (482 nucleotides) under uncultured bacterium. RNAcentral describes it as "partial 16S ribosomal RNA". It matches the Rfam family "Bacterial small subunit ribosomal RNA", at positions 30 to 507 of the family's 1533-position model. The record is from RNAcentral.